GCUUUACUGUAGCUUGGAAUUGGGUUCGGGCUUUUCUUGCGCAGGAUAAGUGGGAGGCUAAGAUAGUAAUCUUGCGGGAUUAUUGGAGCCAAUGGUGAGAUACCACUCUGGAAAAGCUAGACUUCUAACCUUGAAAGCCGUUAUCCGGCCAAGGGACAGUUCCUGGUAGGCAGUUUGACUGGGGCGGUCGCCUCCUAAAAAGUAACGGAGGCGUGCAAAGGUUCUCUCAGGCUGGUCGGAAAUCAGUCGUAGAGUGUAAAGGCAUAAGAGAGCUUGACUGUGAGACCUACAAGUCGAACAGAGACGAAAGUCGGCCUUAGUGAUCCGGCGGUACCGAGUGGAAGGGCCGUCGCUCAACGGAUAAAAGUUAC
Molecule: ribosomal RNA, 371 nt
Filed under: Wildemania miniata
Lineage: Eukaryota; Rhodophyta; Bangiophyceae; Bangiales; Bangiaceae
Description: bacterial LSU rRNA
Rfam family: Bacterial large subunit ribosomal RNA
Source: RNAcentral